CCUACGGGAGGCAGCAGUAAGGAAUAUUGGUCAAUGGAGGCAACUCUGAACCAGCCAUGCCGCGUGCAGGAAGACAGCCCUAUGGGUCGUAAACUGCUUUUAUACGGGAAUAAACUUUGAUUCGUGAAUCAAGCUGAAUGUACCGUAAGAAUAAGGAUCGGCUAACUCCGUGCCAGCAGCCGCGGUAAUACGGAGGAUCCAAGCGUUAUCCGGAUUUAUUGGGUUUAAAGGGAGCGUAGGCGGCCUAUUAAGUCAGGGGUGAAAGACGGUGGCUCAACCAUCGCAGUGCCUUUGAUACUGAUGGGCUUGAAUAUAGUUGAGGUAGGCGGAAUGUGACAAGUAGCGGUGAAGUGCAUAGAUAUGUCACAGAACACCGAUUGCGAAGGCAGCUUACUAAGCUAUGAUUGACGCUGAGGCUCGAAAGCGUGGGGAUCAAACAGGAUUAGAUACCCUGGUAGUCCACGCCCUAAACGAUGAUAACUCGAUGUUGGCGAUAUACAGUCAGCGUCCAAGCGAAAGCGUUAAGUUAUCCACCUGGGAGUACGCCCGCAAGGGUGAAACUUAAAUGAAAUUGAGGCGAGAGACGAGCGAGGACGACGACGAGGGAGGAGG
Molecule: ribosomal RNA, 612 nt
Filed under: uncultured bacterium
Lineage: Bacteria
Description: bacterial SSU rRNA
Rfam family: Bacterial small subunit ribosomal RNA
Source: RNAcentral